UUUAUUUUGCGCUUGAUCCUGGUUUUAGUGGGUUUUUCGUCCUCGUCGCGUGUUUCAUGGUGGCCGCUAGGGUGCCCCUGCCGGCCAUCUGCCAUCUGCUCCAGGGGCCCCCUCCAGGAACACACAGCGACUGCUAAGCCGUCGUCCUGUUUUGCUUCUCCCUACACAUCCUUACUAAGAGAAAGGGGCCUGCCCAGCUAGCAGCAGCUUCCUAGCUGGAAGAUGCAUAGCCAUAACGCACGCAUCGAUUAGGAGCAGUUUAUCACGCAGCUUGUACGCAUGCUGCCGCCGCCUUUUCGCCUCGUGCCUAUAUCGUGGCGGGUGAACAAGGGAAUCUCGCUGGAGACCCUUUUGGAAGGGAUCUCGGUGGCGCACUGCCGUUGCGUGUCGUUCGUCGGUAUAAGAAUUGCCGGACGGUCGAUGUCCGCUGUACGUUUCAUUAGCUAUAUGUUUCUGCAGUUUGAUAUAAUGUUUUUGUGGCGUAGAUCUACAAGAGAUCAAGAAGGGUGAUGUUCUGGAUGCUGAUCUCGACUAAUAGUUGCCGGAUGAACUAUGCAAUGACAGCAUGGAUGAGCUUUGUGUGCAGUUCACAUUUACCUGGUGGACCAUCACCAACCGGAUGGAGGUGAAGCAAGUGGUCAAGUCAGGGAAAUGCUCGAAAGGCUAUCGAGAAGAUCAACGAUCUUAACCCCACGAUCCUAAUUUCAGUUUGUACCUCGUUGUUGGGCUGUCAGAAAAGUUUGGAGCAGGAGCAAUGAUAUGACAAUUGUGGCUAACUUUCUUGUCAUUAGUCAUAUAUGUGCUAAUGGACCUUCCGGGUUCUCCAUUAUGUUUACCGGCCGGUUUCUCAUCUGAAAAAUACCCCAUAGCAUAGUGGACAAUGCUUUUUUUGGGUCAGAAGUAGUAUUUCUACAUGAAACUAAGGUAUAUAUGCGUAUGAGAAAUGUGGCUUAUCUUUAGAUAAUGCUUUUUUUGUUAGAAGUUGUUUUUCUACAUGAAAUUAAGGUAUAUAUGCGUAUGAGAAAUUAUAUCUUUGCUUAACUCAAAAAAUUGUAUUUGCUCCUUUUAGCGGGAGCCUGGAGGUGAUACGGUUUGUACAACAUGGUUUGAAUAAGAUAUUGUUUGUAUACUGUAUUGUUUGUAUACUGUUGAGUGAAGUAUUGUAUAACUACUGUAAAGUGGGUGUAGGUUUUUAUUGUGCAUUUUUCACAGAGGUUUGGGCGUUUGGACACAACCAUAUGUACAAUUUGAAGCCUUCAUUUGCAAGCAUUUCUUUAGGAAACAGAGAAAACCGCAGCAACUAUUUGAUGUUUCUCGACGCUUGAAGACAACAAGUGAAGUUGUUGCUACCAUCUUACAAGCCAAAGUCAUGAGAAAGUCGGGUGUUAAAAUGUUGGGAGAUUACAAAGUUCAUGCUCUAUUCACACAUGGUGGAGGCAACCCAACAAGUUGUUGCGGGAGCCAGCAGAGAAAGGAGUCGAGGAACCCGCAUCAUGGGAGAGUCAUCGAGGGGCAUCCGGAUAAAGCCUAUAUACUGGAUGAGAUUCUCAUUGCCGGCAUUCUUCAUGAACCUAUCAAGGAGAACAUUUCAAUACUAAUUGCAGCACAUGUUUUCUCACCACCGGCUAACAAGAAGAGAGUAUGAUUUUCUAAUGCUCAGUGUUGUAAGCUUGAUUCACGAGGAGCUUCUCAAUGUUGUACAUGUUGUUUGUGAGUAACAGAAAUAAAUCAUUUCCUGGAAUCAGACGCUAUAUUUUCUGUGGGAAUU
Long non-coding RNA from Triticum dicoccoides, 1768 nucleotides. RefSeq lists it as uncharacterized. The transcript has 5 exons. NCBI's taxonomy places the organism in Eukaryota, Viridiplantae, Streptophyta, Magnoliopsida, Poales, Poaceae. The record is from RefSeq and is a predicted model, not a curated record.